Small nuclear RNA from Calliphora vicina (urban bluebottle blowfly), 132 nucleotides. RefSeq annotates it as U4 spliceosomal RNA. The record is from RefSeq and is a predicted model, not a curated record. NCBI's taxonomy places the organism in Eukaryota, Metazoa, Arthropoda, Insecta, Diptera, Calliphoridae. The transcript has a single exon.
AGCACACUAUCGAGGCGAUAUCGCAACCAAUGAGGUUCUACCGAGAUGCGAUUAUUGCUAGUUGAAAACUUUAACCAAUACCCAGCCAUGGGGACGUGAAAUACCGCUAAACCUUUAAUGAAUAAGUAAAUU